Long non-coding RNA from Lagopus muta (rock ptarmigan), 900 nucleotides. RefSeq lists it as uncharacterized. The transcript has 3 exons. The record is from RefSeq and is a predicted model, not a curated record. Lineage: Eukaryota; Metazoa; Chordata; Aves; Galliformes; Phasianidae.
AGCAUUCAGCGGAGGAGGCAGUGUUAAAGUUUACACUGUGUUAAGGCUGAAGCGAUUGCAAGGCUCAGAGCGGAACAGACCAGUCUCCUAAGACAUCGGGAAGGAUGCUGUACAAACAGCUACAUAUGUUGCAGAGGAGGAGUGGAGCAGGGAAAGGUCCCCAUCCUGCUGAAGGAGCGAGGUCUUGGUGCAAUGGGAGAACAGAUCUCCUGCACAGGAGCUGGUGUCCUGCUGCACAGGCUGCUGCAGCUGUUGUGAAAUAACCUGCCUAGGAAGACUCCCUGUCCUGGGACCCCCAACCCACCCCUGCGUGGAGAGUGGAUGCAGGUUGAGACCUUAUGGGCACCCUUGGCUGAGUGCCAAGAAGAAGGAUGGGAGAUGAUCAGAAGGUGCUCUCUAAUUGGGAGAUGUCCUUAUAUCUGUGAGUAAACUCACUUUCCUUCUUGGGUCAGAAUGUGACUUAUGUUCCGGGAUGUGUCUCAGGGCACUGUCAGAUCUGUGGUUUAAUACUGUGCUCUUAGAAUACAUAUGUUGUCUUCAGAGUUUGUCUGUAAUCAGAAUAUUGCUGGUUUUAUUGCUUGAUUUGAAGUUACUAAAAAGCUAGUCGCUCUAGGAGAUAAGAAAGUUAGAAAGAAAAGACUUGAAUGGGCAAUCCAGGGAAAAUAAUCAGCAAUGACAGAGCUCCAGGAAACAGGAACUCCUCUGGGAAAAUGCCUUUUCAAUCACAUGCAUCUUUUCUCAGGCAGAGAUUCAGUUCUGCCUGCUGCAAAAAUACCAACCUGCUUGUUCCUUCCUUAAUGCAUGCAGGUAUUAGGGGGUGCUGCUUGGUUUUCAGAGGCAAACAAAUUCAGAGUUUGCCACAGUGAGGAUCUGCUCUGAGUGAAGAAAAAGCUGAGCAGA